CCCGAACCGUUGGGGUGCCUUGCGAAAGGCUGAGAGGCGUGGAUGCGCUAACCCAUCGAACCUGAUCCGGGCAAUUCCGGCGUAGGGAACGGUCUAUGCGCAAGC
RNAcentral lists this non-coding RNA (105 nucleotides) under Rhodobacteraceae bacterium PD-2. Its description in RNAcentral is "TPP riboswitch aptamer (THI element)". It matches the Rfam family "TPP riboswitch aptamer (THI element)". From Rfam's summary of the family: Vitamin B(1) in its active form thiamin pyrophosphate (TPP) is an essential coenzyme that is synthesised by coupling of pyrimidine and thiazole moieties in bacteria. The previously detected thiamin-regulatory element, thi box was extended, resulting in a new, highly conserved RNA secondary structure, the THI element, which is widely distributed in eubacteria and also occurs in some archaea. RNAcentral also lists the same sequence under 1 other name. Lineage: Bacteria; Pseudomonadati; Pseudomonadota; Alphaproteobacteria; Rhodobacterales; Paracoccaceae. The record is from Rfam by way of RNAcentral.